AGUGGGGAAUUUUGGACAAUGGGCGAAAGCCUGAUCCAGCAAUGCCGCGUGUGUGAUGAAGGCCUUCGGGUUGUAAAGCACUUUUGGUAGGAACGAAAAGGUCUGUGCUAAUACCACGGACUUAUGACGGUACCUGCAGAAUAAGCACCGGCUAACUACGUGCCAGCAGCCGCGGUAAUACGUAGGGUGCAAGCGUUAAUCGGAAUUACUGGGCGUAAAGCGUGCGCAGGCGGUUUUGUAAGACCGAUGUGAAAUCCCCGGGCUCAACCUGGGAACUGCAUUGGUGACUGCAAGGCUUGAGUGUGUCAGAGGGAGGUGGAAUUCCGCGUGUAGCAGUGAAAUGCGUAGAUAUGCGGAGGAACACCGAUGGCGAAGGCAGCCUCCUGGGAUAACACUGACGCUCAUGCACGAAAGCGUGGGGAGCAAA
RNAcentral lists this ribosomal RNA (427 nucleotides) under uncultured Lautropia sp. RNAcentral's name for it is "bacterial SSU rRNA". It matches the Rfam family "Bacterial small subunit ribosomal RNA", at positions 353 to 772 of the family's 1533-position model. The record is from RNAcentral. Lineage: Bacteria; Pseudomonadati; Pseudomonadota; Betaproteobacteria; Burkholderiales; Burkholderiaceae.